RNAcentral lists this long non-coding RNA (835 nucleotides) under Homo sapiens (human). RNAcentral's name for it is "non-protein coding SATB1-AS1:9". Lineage: Eukaryota; Metazoa; Chordata; Mammalia; Primates; Hominidae. The record is from RNAcentral.
ACAGAUGAGAAAACUGAAACAUUGAGAAGUCAAGUAACUUGCUCAAGAUUAUAUAGCUAGUGCAUAGAGGGGCAAAGAUUUGAACCAGAUUGCCUGGUUCCACAUGCACUUUAACCUGCUUUAUUUAGGCUUUUGAAAGCAACCUAAAUAGCUAACAUUGACUAAAUAAGUGCAGUAUACCUGGUCUGUGUGACAUUUUGCAGGUAUUAAAAAGUGAACAUUCUGAACCCUUUUAGCAAUAUGGCAAAUACUUCUGAUGUGAUGUAUGCAUAUAAAUAUGAUCGAAAGCAAAUAUCCCAAAAGGUUGAUGGCAGUUAUGUCAGGUUAGUAGCACAAUAGUUUCUUUUCUCAUUUUCUCACAUUUUUAGUAAUGUGUGUUGCCUAUAUUAAAAAACAAAUAUUAAAAAGUAGUAGCAUGUAUUAGAUCAGAGCAUGGGCUCAGACUGCCUGUGUCAUCUCUUAUUAGAUGUAUGACCAGGGACAAGUUAUUGACCUUUUGUUUCUAAGUCUCUAAGUUUAUCCUGUAAAAUGAAGAUAAUUGUAGUAACUACCUAAUAACAUGAUUGUAAGGAUUAAAUUAUUUAGAACACUAUUUGUUACUUGGAAAAUAUGCAAUCAUAAGCUAUUUUGUUGUUAUUGUUAUUUUACUACCAAAGCUUAUUGUUUCAGAGCCCCUAGGUGACCAGGCAAAAUGGCAGUUCCUUCCAGCUGGUCCUCAGAUGGGCACAUCUAUUAGCCUCUGCUCUUGUAAGAAGUUAGCUGCAGAACCCACAUGUGAAUCCUUGUAGGACUCUGGAGAAGAUCAAAUGGGAGCUUAGAUGUGGAAGCUCUUUGG